Molecule: ribosomal RNA, 869 nt
Filed under: uncultured archaeon
Lineage: Archaea
Description: bacterial SSU rRNA
Rfam family: Archaeal small subunit ribosomal RNA
Source: RNAcentral
CUCCGGUUGAUCUGCCCGGACCUGACUGCUAUCGGAUUGGUACUAAGCCAUGCGAGUCGUUGUAGCAAUACAAGGCGGACGGCUCAGUAACACGUAGUCAACCUAACCUAUGGACGUGGAUAACCUCGGGAAACUGAGAAUAAACCGCGAUAGAUCAUUAUGCCUGGAAUGGCUUAUGGUUCAAACAAUUUAUUGCCGUAGGAUGGGACUGCGGCCUAUCAGCUUGUUGGUGAGGUAAUGGCCCACCAAGGCUAUAACAGGUACGGGCUCUGAGAGGAGAAGCCCGGAGAUGGGUACUGAGACACGGACCCAGGCCCUAUGGGGCGCAGCAGGCGAGAAACCUUAGCAAUGUGCGAAAGCACGACUAGGUUAAUCCGAGUGAUUUCUGUUGAAGAAAUCUUUUGUCAGUCGUAAAACCACAGACGAAUAAGGGGUGGGCAAGUCUGGUGUCAGCCGCCGCGGUAAUACCAGCACCUCGAGUGGUCAGGAGGUUUAUUGGGCCUAAAGCAUCCGUAGCCGGCUACGCAAGUCUCCGGUUAAAUCCAGCUGCUCAACAGAUGGGCUGCCGGAGAUACUACAUAGCUAGGGGGCGGGAGAGGUAGACGGUAUUCUGUGGGUAGGGGUAAAAUCCACUGAUCCAUAGAGGACCACCAGUGGCGAAGGCGGUCUACCAGAACGCGUUCGACGGUGAGGGAUGAAAGCUGGGGGAGCAAACCGGAUUAGAUACCCGGGUAGUCCCAGCUGUAAACGAUGCAAACUCGGUGAUGCAUUGGCUUAUGGCCAAUGCAGUGCCGCAGGGAAGCCGUUAAGUUUGCCGCCUGGGAAGUACGGACGCAAGUCUGAAACUUAAAGGAAUUGGCGGGGGAGCA